GCGACAAAUCUGUGUGUGUGUGUGUGUGGCGGCGAUUCUGCCUGAAUCGAAAGAAGCUAGGGCUCGGCCCUUUGUGGGUAUGCUGCGAGGGACAGAGGAGGAAGAAGGGAAGGAUACUUGAGACGGGGAUGGGAUGGACGGCGUUAAACGCCAGCCUCGGCGACAUUCAGAGGACCGGGGCUUUUCUGCACGGAAAACGAGCACAGUGGAGGUCUGCCCGGACUCUGGC
This 229-nucleotide long non-coding RNA is filed under the name Salvia miltiorrhiza (redroot sage). RNAcentral's name for it is "long non-coding RNA (SMIL_LNC011790)". Lineage: Eukaryota; Viridiplantae; Streptophyta; Magnoliopsida; Lamiales; Lamiaceae. The record is from RNAcentral.